This 253-nucleotide ribosomal RNA is filed under the name uncultured bacterium. RNAcentral describes it as "partial 16S ribosomal RNA". It matches the Rfam family "Bacterial small subunit ribosomal RNA", at positions 524 to 776 of the family's 1533-position model. The record is from RNAcentral.
UACGAAGGGGGCUAGCGUUGUUCGGAAUUACUGGGCGUAAAGCGCGCGCAGGCGGUCUUUCAAGUCAGUGGUGAAAGCCCGGAGCUCAACUCCGGAACUGCCAUUGAAACUGUAAGACUUGAGGAUGAGAGAGGUGAGUGGAAUUCCCAGUGUAGAGGUGAAAUUCGUAGAUAUUGGGAAGAACACCGGUGGCGAAGGCGGCUCACUGGCUCAUUACUGACGCUCAGGCGCGACAGCGUGGGGAUCAAACAGG